GGAAUCUUCGGCAAUGGACGAAAGUCUGACCGAGCAACGCCGCGUGAGCGAAGAAGGCCUUCGGGUCGUAAAGCUCUGUUGUUAGAGAAGAACAUGGGUGAGAGUAACUGUUCACCCCUUGACGGUAUCUAACCAGAAAGCCACGGCUAACUACGUGCCAGCAGCCGCGGUAAUACGUAGGUGGCAAGCGUUGUCCGGAAUUAUUGGGCGUAAAGCGCGCGCAGGCGGUCUCUUAAGUCUGAUGUGAAAGCCCCCGGCUCAACCAGGGAGGGUCAUUGGAAACUGGGAGACUUGAGGACAGAAGAGGAGAGUGGAAUUCCAAGUGUAGCGGUGAAAUGCGUAGAUAUUUGGAGGAACACCAGUGGCGAAGGCGGCUCUCUGGUCUGUUACUGACGCUGAGGCGCGAAAGCGUGGGGAGCAAACAGGAUUAGAUACCCUAG
This 440-nucleotide ribosomal RNA is filed under the name uncultured Brochothrix sp. RNAcentral's name for it is "bacterial SSU rRNA". It matches the Rfam family "Bacterial small subunit ribosomal RNA", at positions 358 to 790 of the family's 1533-position model. Lineage: Bacteria; Bacillati; Bacillota; Bacilli; Caryophanales; Listeriaceae. The record is from RNAcentral.